This 95-nucleotide non-coding RNA is filed under the name uncultured Terrisporobacter sp. RNAcentral describes it as "yjdF RNA". It matches the Rfam family "azaaromatic riboswitch aptamer (yjdF RNA)". The record is from RNAcentral. Lineage: Bacteria; Bacillati; Bacillota; Clostridia; Peptostreptococcales; Peptostreptococcaceae.
UAAGAGAUAAAAACACUGCUUCGGUUGGUAGUCCGAGCCUAUUGAAAAAUAGAAGUAACCUGCCCUCCUGGGGUUGUCCCUUCUCUUGUAAUAAA